RNAcentral lists this ribosomal RNA (330 nucleotides) under uncultured Chloroflexota bacterium. Its description in RNAcentral is "bacterial SSU rRNA". It matches the Rfam family "Bacterial small subunit ribosomal RNA", at positions 28 to 351 of the family's 1533-position model. The record is from RNAcentral. Lineage: Bacteria; Bacillati; Chloroflexota.
GAUGAACGCUGGCGGCGUGCUUAAUACAUGCAAGUCGAACGAAGAGCUUUUGUAGCAAUACGGGAGCUUCUUAGUGGCGAACGGGUGCGUAACGCGUUGGUGACCUGCCCCAAAGUGUGGGAUAACAGUUCGAAAGGACUGCUAAUACCGCAUGUGAUCAUUGGUUUUAGAAUCUGAUGAUUAAAGCAGUAAUGCGCUUUGGGAGGGACCUGCGUCCCAUCAGCUAGUUGGUGAGGUAACGGCCCACCAAGGCUACGACGGGUAGGGGACCUGAGAGGGUGGUCCCCCACACUGGCACUGAAACACGGGCCAGACUCCUACGGGUGGCUG